Molecule: ribosomal RNA, 403 nt
Filed under: Verrucomicrobiota bacterium
Lineage: Bacteria; Pseudomonadati; Verrucomicrobiota
Description: Verrucomicrobia bacterium partial 16S ribosomal RNA
Rfam family: Bacterial small subunit ribosomal RNA
Source: RNAcentral
UGGGGAAUAUUGCGCAAUGGGGGAAACCCUGACGCAGCAACGCCGCGUGCGGGAUGAAGGCCUUCGGGUUGUAAACCGCUUUCAGCAGGGAAGAUAAUGACGGUACCCUGUGAGGAAGCCCCGGCUAACUACGUGCCAGCAGCCGCGGUAAUACGUAGGGGGCUAGCGUUAUCCGGAUUUACUGGGCGUAAAGGGUGCGUAGGUGGUCUUUCAAGUCGGUGGUUAAAGGCUACGGCUCAACCGUAGUUAGCCUCCGAAACUGGAAGACUUGAGUGCAGGAGAGGAAAGUGGAAUUCCCAGAGUAGCGGUGAAAUGCGUAGAUAUAGGGAGGAACACCAGUAGCGAAGGCGGCUUUCUGGACUGCAACUGACACUGAGGCACGAAAGCGUGGGUAGCAAACAGG